This 633-nucleotide ribosomal RNA is filed under the name uncultured bacterium. RNAcentral describes it as "bacterial SSU rRNA". It matches the Rfam family "Bacterial small subunit ribosomal RNA", at positions 54 to 686 of the family's 1533-position model. The record is from RNAcentral.
CAUGCAAGUCGAACGAGAAUCUACUGAAAGAGUUUUCGGACAAUGGAUGUAGAGGAAAGUGGCGGACGGGUGAGUAACGCGUGAGGAACCUGCCUUGAAGAGGGGGACAACAGUUGGAAACGACUGCUAAUACCGCAUGACGCAUAGAGGUCGCAUGAUCUUUAUGCCAAAGAUUUAUCGCUUCAAGAUGGCCUCGCGUCUGAUUAGCUGGUUGGCGGGGUAACGGCCCACCAAGGCGACGAUCAGUAGCCGGACUGAGAGGUUGAACGGCCACAUUGGGACUGAGAUACGGCCCAGACUCCUACGGGAGGCAGCAGUGGGGAAUAUUGGGCAAUGGGCGCAAGCCUGACCCAGCAACGCCGCGUGAAGGAAGAAGGCUUUCGGGUUGUAAACUUCUUUUAAGAGGGAAGAGCAGAAGACGGUACCUCUAGAAUAAGCCACGGCUAACUACGUGCCAGCAGCCGCGGUAAUACGUAGGUGGCAAGCGUUGUCCGGAUUUACUGGGUGUAAAGGGCGUGCAGCCGGGUCUGCAAGUCAGAUGUGAAAUCCAUGGGCUCAACCCAUGAACUGCAUUUGAAACUGUAGAUCUUGAGUGUCGGAGGGGCAAUCGGAAUUCCUAGUGUAGCGGUGAAA